GGGACACGUGGUAUCCUGUCUGAAUAUGGGGGGACCAUCCUCCAAGGCUAAAUACUCCUGACUGACCGAUAGUGAACCAGUACCGUGAGGGAAAGGCGAAAAGAACCCCGGCGAGGGGAGUGAAAAAGAACCUGAAACCGUGUACGUACAAGCAGUGGGAGCCUCUUAAUGGGGUGACUGCGUACCUUUUGUAUAAUGGGUCAGCGACUUAUAUUCUGUAGCAAGGUUAACCGAAUAGGGGAGCCGAAGGGAAACCGAGUCUUAACUGGGCGUUAAGUUGCAGGGUAUAGACCCGAAACCCGGUGAUCUAGCCAUGGGCAGGUUGAAGGUUGGGUAACACUAACUGGAGGACCGAACCGACUAAUGUUGAAAAAUUAGCGGAUGACUUGUGGCUGGGGGUGAAAGGCCAAUCAAACCGGGAGAUAGCUGGUUCUCCCCGAAAGCUAUUUAGGUAGCGCCUCGUGAAUUCAUCUCCGGGGGUAGAGCACUGUUUCGGCAAGGGGGUCAUCCCGACUUACCAACCCGAUGCAAACUGCGAAUACCGGAGAAUGUUAUCACGGGAGACACACGGCGGGUGCUAACGUCCGUCGUGAAGAGGGAAACAACCCAGACCGCCAGCUAAGGUCCCAAAGUCAUGGUUAAGUGGGAAACGAUGUGGGAAGGCCCAGACAGCCAGGAUGUUGGCUUAGAAGCAGCCAUCAUUUAAAGAAAGCGUAAUAGCUCACUGGUCGAGUCGGCCUGCGCGGAAGAUGUAACGGGGCUAAACCAUGCACCGAAGCUGCGGCAGCGACACUAUGUGUUGUUGGGUA
This 809-nucleotide ribosomal RNA is filed under the name Escherichia coli. RNAcentral's name for it is "partial 23S ribosomal RNA". It matches the Rfam family "Bacterial large subunit ribosomal RNA", at positions 419 to 1230 of the family's 2925-position model. The record is from RNAcentral. Lineage: Bacteria; Pseudomonadati; Pseudomonadota; Gammaproteobacteria; Enterobacterales; Enterobacteriaceae.